GACCAAUCGGCUCUCUGUAAAAUGGACCAAUCAGCAGGAUGUGGGUGGGGCCAGAUAAGAAUAAAAGCAGGCUGCUGGAGCCACCCGUAACAACCCGCUCUGAUUCUCUUCCAAAUAAUGGGAAGGUUUUUCCCCCCGUUUUUACAGUAAGUUUUGCUGCUAAUCACUUUGGAUUUUCACUGCAUUUAUGAGCUGUGACAUUCACUGUGAAGGUUUAAGGUUUUGCUGUUGAAGCUGGCAAAACCACAAAACCACCAAGAGAAACUAACAGUUCCACAGGCACUGUCUUAAGAGCUGUAACACCCACCAUGAAGGUCUGCAGUUUCACUCCUGAGCCAGCGAGACCAUGAACCCAGCGCAAGGAAAAAAGUGCAAGUACAUCCGAACUUCAGAACAUCAGAAAGAAGAAACUCUGGACAGGCCCCCUUUAAGAACUGUGACACCACCUGCGAGGGUCUGCGGCUUCAUUCUUGAAGUCAGCCCAAGAACCCACCGAUUUUAGACACACUGGGUUCAAGCGAUUUUCCUGCCUCAGCCUUCCAAGUAGCUGGGAUUACAGGUGUCCACCACCACGCCGGGAACCUUCCAGGUCUGAGCUGAGGUGUCAUCUCUGAACACCAGGCUGCUGCACUAACCAGAAGACCCCUCCCCACCUGCAGUGGCCUCGCUGCAUCGUAAGGAUGGAGGAGCUGUUGUCUCCACAGCUGACAGGUGCUUAGUGGUUAGAAGUCUGGUUUUCGCGCGGCUUAGAUCUUUAACAUCUGAACUAGUCCUGUCAACAUAUUUUGUUAUAUUUCUGGUGGCUUUGUCUUUGAUGCUAUUAUAAAUGAUUAUCUUUUAAAAUAAUACUUUGAUGAUAUAUAGAAAUGAAAUUGAUUUAUUUGACUGUAUCCAGCAACCUUUUCAAAUUCUAAUAAAUUGUGUAGGGAAAAAAAAGUCUGGCUUCGGAGUCAGAACGGAAUUGAAUCCUGCCUCCACCACUUCCUACCUAUAUGACCUGGUGAAACUUAUCCCUCUCUGUGACUCAGUUUCCUCAUCUGUAAAAUGGGAAAAUUGAAAGCAACUAACAGGUUUGGGGCCGUUUUGCUUGCUGCUGCUGUGGCUUCAGUGCUGAGGCCUGGCACUCAGCGGGAUGUCAGCCCAGGACUGGAGCUUCUUUCUCAUGGUAUUAUUUUGAAUUUAGAUGAAAAGAGGUAUUCCAGGAGAGCUCCUGGCACAGGGCCUGGCAGGUGGCACAUCCUCAGUAAAUGUGAGCUGCUGUCAGCUGCUGUGUGAGUGCCUGGUGUGGCCCUGUUGUCCCCUUGAGGGUUGGGGGACAAAACAGGCCCUCAGGAAGCCUGCCUGUGUAUUCGGGGGCUGGGGAGAUCUCUGACCUCCUGUCUCCUAGCUCCACCAGCAUCUCUCACCUCCCCCAGCAAUGUACAACCCCUUCUUUUCCCAUAGCUUAGGCCCCUGAGGUACCAGCCCCCCAGCCUAGGGACAGCCCAGUGGCAAACUCCUGGUGACCUGGGUCAAGCUGCUGUUCUCCAAUCCCAACUCGGCUCUUCCCGUGACUUGGCCCCCAGGCCUUGGGUGAGGCUCCGAUGAAAUAACACACAGGAAUGUGCGCUGAACACUGCCAAGCACUGCAGGUGGGCAGGGGCUUUGUGCUCCCCAGCGACUGUUCCUAUCCUGCGGGAAUGGAGGAGACCGACAAAGAAGCCCCACUCCUGGGCUGACAUCCUGCCAGUGCCAGCCGGGCCUCAGCACCAGUGGGUCAGCCAGAACAGCAACGACGAACAAUGAGGCCCCAAACCCGUGGGCCCCCCACUUUCUAUCUUGAAUUUCUCUGUCUUUCCUAGGCCAGCAAUGUUUGAGAGGGAGAGCGAGCUGAAGAUUUCCUGAUUUCAGAUAGGCCUAGAGAAGGAUUGUAAUUUUCUAGUGUGAAAAGGAAGUGGCACAAAGAUGAGGGCAAUGAAGAAGAUGGUUCAAUGGAAGUACCAGGGUCCUGUAAAUAGGGAACGUGUUUUAUGAUCAAACCGUUCUUUGCAUUUUUGGUGAUUUUGAGGUUUAAUUUCCUCUAUGUAGUUAGUUAACUAUUUAACACUGAGAGCAGGGGUAGGGAUAAGGCAAACAACAAAAAAGCCAAAAUGAAACCAACUUCUGUGGGGUUUCCCCACCCCAGGGAGGUGGAGGCUGAGGUAGAACUGACUGAGAGAAUCACCCUCCCUGCACUGUGAUGAAGACACAUCCACACAUCAGGACUACACAGCUGGCAGGUGCUGGCUGUCCAGAGGAGCAAACAGCUUCUUCCUUGUGUUUCUGUGUCUCUUAGUAGAAAUCUGUGCCCUUGGGAGAAAACUGAAUUUGCACCCCUUGAGGCAAACACUUGACCAAAUGAAUUAGGCAGAUGGGUGGAUGGGUGGGUGAAUGGGCAGGAGGUGUGACAGGCAGGAGGCGUGACAGGGAAAGAACACUGUUCUGACAGGCACACACUGCCACAUCUGCCCUCCCAACAACCCCGAUACAGACACUGUUGUUAACCCUCCUUUUACAGAUGAGGAAACUGAAGUUAAUUUGCUCGUGGUAACACAGCUAGGCAAGUGGCUACGUUCAGCUGGAGAAAAGGAAAAUUCUGAAAGACUUUAGGAUACAUCUUAUUCAAAAGCAUUUGGUGAACAUAAAUAUGUACCCAAGGUAUAAUAUUAAGUGAACCAAGCUUGUUAUAAAGCAGUAUGAGUCCUGUCUGAUUCCAACUUUAUAAAAAAUAGAUGCAUAUGUCAAUAAAUGCACAGAAAAGGGUAUACCCUAAAAUGUUAAUAAUGGUGAUCUCUGGGUUAUGACACAAAAUAUUGAUUGGUCUUUGGGCUUUUCUUUAAUUUUAAAAUGUUAAUAGACAUGUAUUAUCUUAAUAAUGGGAGGAGCCACAGAAAAAGUGCUUUUCAAAAACAUGAAAUCAAUAAGCCCAUGCAGGACCUGCAGGGGGCUGCAGUCACCUGGGCCUCAUAGGCUUGGCAAAGGCUUUAGUUAUGCCCUGAUUGGAGGCCACUGGCAUGGAGAAGCUGUAGGUCAGCUAACUGGAACUAGGACAUCCAAUGUGAUUGGUUAUGUGUGCAUAUUUGUCUUUCUUCAUUGGGUCCUAAGUUGCAAGCAGGCGCAAAAAUUAAGGAAGCUGUGAGUCAAUGAAGUCCUGGCUGUUUUUCAGCUGGUUGCUAUAGGGUUGUUUUUUGACUUUCUAGACUGGUUGCUGUAGAGGUGGGUCAGAGUUUUACUUUCAUCUAUGGUCUGGCCAUUGUAUUUGUAUAUUCAGUCUCUUAGUCACCCCUUUUGGUCAUUCGCUUACUUUCAAGAGGUUGGCCAAUUCAAGGAAAGCUGGAAAUCUAGCUCUUUAUCACUCAGAGAUUAUUCAGUAAACUCCAUAUAAAACUGUAUUGCAAAAUAUUCCUGACCUUUUUGUUUUUGUAUCAUCAUGGUGAUUUUGACUAGAGAGCAGAUGUGCAGAAGCUUUUAAGAAUCUAGAUAGCACGCAGCAUCAUGUCCACUCUUACAAAGCCAGAAUAAUUAAUAGUUCCUAUAAGGUGAUUUGGAACCAGGAACCUCAAUUGCCAAAUCAAGGCCAAAAUAACAAAUUUGAUAGAUUAUGGGAUCAACCUUAGCCAAAUAGCUUAUACCAUGAAACAAUAUAUAAUAGUUCCAACUUGCUUGUUUCUUUGAUCCAAGGACAAGAAGUAUGAGCAACGGCACAGACACCAGGAUGACUAAAAGAAAAAAAAAAAAAAAACCUAGGGUAAUGUUAUUGUCUAUCACUGCCCAUGCCAAUGAGUUGAGAUUGUUCUGUAUUUGUAUCUAGGACAAAGGCAAUAUCAUCAAUAACUUCUGCCAGAGUGAGUAUCUUAGUCCAUUCAGGCUGCUGUACUAAAAUACCAUAAUUUGGGUGGCUUAUAAAGAAUAGAAAUGUAUUUCUUUCAGUUCUAGAAACUGAGAAAAUCAAGAUAAAGACGCCAGCAGACUCGAGGCCAGGUGUGAUAGCUCAUGCCUGUAAUCCCAGAACUUUGGGAGGCUGAGGUGGGUGGAUCACCUGAGGUCUGGAGUUCAAGACCAGCUUGACCAACAUGGAGAAACCCCGUCUCUACUAAAAAUACAAAAUUAGCCAGGUGUGGUGGUGGGCAACUGUAAUCCCAGCUACUCAGGAGGCGGAGACGGAAGAAUUCCUUGAACCGGGAGGCGGAGGUUGUAGUGAGCUGAGAUCGCGCCACUGCUCCCCAGCCUGGGCCGGAGCCAGACUGUGUCUCAAAAACAAACAACAAAAUAAAACAAGAAAAGAUUUAAUGGAAGACCUCAAUAAGCCAUUGUAGGCUGUAAAAUUCACCUAGUCCAAUCUUUCAGAGUCGUUUUGGACUUGAUAGUAGCUCAGUACCAAGAUCAUUACAGAAGUUAAUACCAAUAAUAGCCAUUGAAUAUAUUGUCUCUAUAAUGUGGAUCAAAUUCUCAUUUGACUGUACUGACAUUGGUGAUAGAAGGUGCAACCUGAUUUACGCUGGGGUAUAUCAGGUGAUUAAAGUUAAGGCAGGCUAGAGAAAAAGUGAAAGCACUCAAAUUGCUGAUUUGGAGUGAAUGAUAAAGCAAUUUAAUACACCGUCUCUAAAGCAUCCGUUUUCGCCUGUCCGAAGAGUUUUAAAGGAUAUUUGGCCAGAAAAUUUCUACCAUGUGUCAGAAUAUUAAUUUGCAUGUAUGCAUUCAUAGUUCAUGGGAUAUUAUUUUAGUGGUUUUAUUAUAACUGCAUAGAAUGGUUUGCUUCUUACUGAAGAUCUUUCUUUUUUUCUUUCGUUCUUUCUCUUUCUUACAGCCAUAGGUGCUUUAAGUCAUUAAACUUUGAGCACUGUAAAAAUAUCUAAAGAGUGCUUAUUUUUAUAACAUUAAUACUCCAUUUGCAACUUUAAUUAUAGUUACUUCAUUUUUAAAAUCUCAGAAGAUAAUGAAAUAUGUAGAAUUGCCAAAACAAUUGAGAAAGCUCACUGCAUUCGUUUGGUAGAGCUGUCGUAACAAAGUGCCAUGGACUGGAUGGCUUAAACAGAAACUUACUUUCUCACAGUUUUAGAUGCCAAAAGUCCAAGAUUAAAGGUAUUGGUAGGUUUGGUUUCUUCUGAGACCUAUUCAAUUGGUCCAUAGACUGCUAUCGUCUCCCCGUGUCUUUACAUCGUCAUUUCUCUGUAUGUGUCUGUGUGUAAAUGUUCUCCUCUUAGAAGCACGCCAGUCACAUUGGAUUAGGACGCACCCUACUGACCUUAUUUAACCUUAAUUGUGUACUUCUCUAAAGACCUUGUCUCCAAGUAUAGAUACUCCGUGAUAUUGAGGGUUAGGACUUCAACACAUGAAUUUGGCGGGGGUGGGUGGGCACAAUUUAGCUCAUAAAACUCACUAAGGUUUAAUUAGGGCAUGGACUGUAGAGCAUUCUACUGUUAAUUUAGUUUUUGUGUUUGGAAAGCAUUUUGAAACAUAAUGAUUUUUAUUUACAAUUUCAUUAUUUAUAUUUUCAUUAUGUUUAGGGUUGCUUGGAGGUAAAUGAAGAAAGAAGAGUUCCGCAUUAGUGAGGCAGGGAUGUCAGUAUAUAAGGAAUUGGAAAGACAUCAGUGAUAAUGGCAAAAGCUGCUUAUAAAUUAAAUUAAGAGCUUAAUUAAACUGAGGAAAAAAGCAUAUUGCCAAAUUACAUGCAGUUGUUUUGUAACAGCAUUUGUCCACUUGCUGUGCCCUGAGAUUUCCAAGGCACAUUCCUCUACUAAGCGUAUUAUAAGAUGAUUAAAUAUGCAUAGUACAAGUAUGUUAUGGAAGGCUGUGUUAACUGAUAUAGUGGGACCACAAUAGUAUGUGUAAGUGAGAUUUGGAAAAUUUGAUAUGCCAGCAAGGACAAAGAAGUGUUGAAUUUGCAAGUUUAUGCACAUAAUUCUGAGAAUCCAGGCAGCUAUUUCUCCUUUUGAAUUGUUCUCUUGGCUAGGGGAUAAGGGUGAGACACAAUACACAUUUGAAUGUGUCACUGUGUAAGUUACCACUGCAAUAUCUUCUGUAUGUUGAAAAACUGGUACUUAUAUGUACUAAUACUAUCUACCAUGAAAAAAACAAUUAAAAAUUUAAAAUAUCAUGUAAAUUAAAUAAAGUUCAAAUACCACUAGCCAGAAAAAAAUAUUUUAUAUUAUAGUCUGGGGUCAGAAGAGGAAAACCUUAUGUAAAGUAUCAAAAUUAAUUUUUAUUUCAAUUUAAAUGCACCAUCAUAUAACAUAGUUUCAUAACUGAAAUUACAUUUGUCAGAAUUUGAUCUUUUCAUUAUUAAAGAAUUGAGGGAAAAUUGAUGGUUAUAAUAUUGAUAUGCCAUGUAAAUAAACUUUUUUUGAUUGUUAUAGGAAUGAAUUGCUCAACUAAUUGGCCAAUGUCAACCACAUAUCUGUUUCCAUGGAAACUGCAGCAAUAUUACUUCAAAUAGUUUCAUUUGUGAAUGUGAUAAACAAUUUUCAGAUAAAAAAUGUAUACAUACAUA
This 6508-nucleotide long non-coding RNA is filed under the name Homo sapiens (human). Its description in RNAcentral is "HSALNT0391220". The record is from RNAcentral. Lineage: Eukaryota; Metazoa; Chordata; Mammalia; Primates; Hominidae.